AUCACAAUUGGACAAAUCAGCGGAGACAAAGGGCACUGCAGACCACUAGCGCACCCCGCAUGCCCUGCCAGAGGCUGGGAGGGGCCCGCGCCUCCCACAUGAGCUCUUACACGUAGGCGGGCGCCGGAGCAACACCCCCACAGAAUGAACCCCGCCUGGGAGACGAGGGCGGGGGCCCGGGGCUGCGGUACUGUGGUGCUGCGCCCGAGCACGUACCGGGGCGGGGCCUGCAGGGGGGAAGGCGGGGUUUGGGGAAGUUUCUCCCAGCGGCUUGUGUUUCGCAUCCUAACCAUGUAGUACCAGCGGCACCAGGGAUAGAAGGGGGUGGCCGGUCCCUUCCGCCUGUUAUUUUCCCCGACGAGGGGUCUGUCUGAUCAGUGCUGCUCUCAGGCACCUGUCUUUCCUCUCCGUCCCGGAUCAUGGAGCCGAGAAAAGGGAAUAAAAGAAAUUAAAUAGUACAAGGAGAUCGGGUGUCUGGGCAGCUUCUUGGAUAAAACCGUCCACUACAGUUCACAGGAAACACAAAGUAUAAAAUUAAAAAGCAGAAGAGAGCUGCGACUGGCAAGGUCAAAAGUGGCCAGAGCAUGUAGUGAGAGUUGGUGAACAUGAAAGAUCUCCAGAGUACUAAUGAGUGUAAACUCAAGCUCAUCUACCUGAGCUUAAUCUACAUUCUGCUAUGCUAUUUACUAACCAAGUAAUCUUGGGACUAUUACACUUUUGUAAAACAACUCACCAGCAUCCAGAAGUUUCCUUACACGCAAAUAGCUGAUGGUCAGCCUCAUAACAGAAGCC
This is a long non-coding RNA of Mustela lutreola (European mink), 792 nucleotides long. RefSeq lists it as uncharacterized. NCBI's taxonomy places the organism in Eukaryota, Metazoa, Chordata, Mammalia, Carnivora, Mustelidae. The transcript has 3 exons. The record is from RefSeq and is a predicted model, not a curated record.